GUUACUAUAGCAUAAAAAGUGUGUUUGUUUUAAGCGUGAGAGGUUCUUAGUAAUU
RNAcentral lists this transfer RNA (55 nucleotides) under Hammerschmidtiella sp. ZengetLiu-2016. RNAcentral describes it as "tRNA-Leu". The record is from RNAcentral. Lineage: Eukaryota; Metazoa; Nematoda; Chromadorea; Rhabditida; Thelastomatidae.